UCCCCAAUUUUUUUGUCACAUAAAAAAAAUAUUUCCAUACCCUAAUCAAAGAGAUUUAUAUUUUAUUUUGAAUUAAAUUCAAAUAAAAAAAAAUUGAAUGAAAAAGACUUUCAGAUAAGGCAGGGCGCCAACUAUUGGUGCCCCCUCUCCUUUCACAUGCGUGAAGAAAGAAGGAUGAGAAAAAUAAUAUCUCACUUCUUCUUUUGGUAUGAUUUUUGGAGAGAGA
RNAcentral lists this long non-coding RNA (226 nucleotides) under Elaeis guineensis (African oil palm). RNAcentral describes it as "long non-coding RNA (EGUI_LNC002208)". The record is from RNAcentral. Lineage: Eukaryota; Viridiplantae; Streptophyta; Magnoliopsida; Arecales; Arecaceae.